Molecule: long non-coding RNA, 519 nt
Filed under: Callithrix jacchus (white-tufted-ear marmoset)
Lineage: Eukaryota; Metazoa; Chordata; Mammalia; Primates; Cebidae
Description: lncRNA (ENSCJAG00000070544.1)
Source: RNAcentral
GGAAAAGGAAUAGAACAGGCAACGGGGAGGACUUCUCUGAAACUUGCUGCAUAGUUUUCCUAGGAAACUGCUGGGGACUAGACUGGCUUGUAAACAGCAGCACCUCUAAACAAGGCACCACUGCCAGGAUUUUGUCCUCUGGGGACAGACAAUGCUGCUGUGUUUGCCAAGGAAGACAGCUCCAAGUGUCUCUGUUUUCAGGCAUCCCUCAGUUUUCAAGUAAGUAUCAUUUUCAAAUCUGUGUUGCAUUCCAAAGAACUUUUUCUUUUUUUGGGGAAUGCUUUUGUACUUAACACCUCUGUGAACUCUGUGACCGUAUACCCUCAUCUGGAAGGUCUAUUUAGAGGAGGCUGAGCAGGCUGCCAAAUUCAGCCUCUGAACCCUCUCAUUUCUGUAUUAUAAAUGCUUUUCCGCAUCCCAUCCCUCGACCUCUGGAAUUAAAUGUUCAGAGGCAUUUGGAUUAGAUUUGAAUUGCUUGGUCAAAUCUUAGUCACUUCUUAGACAGAAUCUUCAACCUGG